ACAAGAUUCAUCAAAAUUACAGGAAUGCUUCUGCCAAGUGCCAUACAACUGAAAAGCAGCCUUGCAAAACAUGAAUUACUGAUUCAGGAUACUGAUACAAUUACUAAUUGUAGAUACUGUUGUCAGCAUCUCUUCCAUUUCGUCUGGCAUCCCUACUGUGAGAGGCUGGAAAGUGAAAAAACUACAUUGCCAAUGAGAGCUUGCAUUCCUCUGACAGCACUAUUGCUAGAAAAUCAGACCUUGUCCCAGCCUGUGGUAGCUACUGCAGACACCAAGAGGUUAUUGGCUGAGGAGGAAGGUAAAUCACAAUGCGGCAUGGAGGAGGAAUUCUCUGUCUCCAUGAGAUCUUGAUUUGGAGGCAUGUUGGAAGAUCCAGG
RNAcentral lists this long non-coding RNA (377 nucleotides) under Cavia porcellus (domestic guinea pig). Its description in RNAcentral is "lncRNA (ENSCPOG00000034441.1)". Lineage: Eukaryota; Metazoa; Chordata; Mammalia; Rodentia; Caviidae. The record is from RNAcentral.